UACGUAGGUGGCAAGCGUUGUCCGGAAUUAUUGGGCGUAAAGCGCGCGCAGGCGGUCCUUUAAGUCUGAUGUGAAAGCCCACGGCUCAACCGUGGAGGGUCAUUGGAAACUGGGGGACUUGAGUGCAGAAGAGGAAAGCGGAAUUCCACGUGUAGCAGUGAAAUGCGUAGAGAUGUGGAGGAACACCAGUGGCGAAGGCGGCUUUCUGGUCUGUAACUGACGCUGAGGCACGAAAGCGUGGGGAGCAAACAGG
Molecule: ribosomal RNA, 253 nt
Filed under: uncultured bacterium
Lineage: Bacteria
Description: partial 16S ribosomal RNA
Rfam family: Bacterial small subunit ribosomal RNA
Source: RNAcentral